AGAGUUUGAUCAUGGCUCAAAUUGAACGCUGGCGGCAUGCCUUACACAUGCAAGUCGAACGGCAGCACGGGUGCUUGCACCUGGUGGCGAGUGGCGAACGGGUGAGUAAUACAUCGGAACGUACCUUAUCGUGGGGGAUAACGCAUCGAAAGCUGUGCUAAUACCGCAUACGCCCUGAGGGGGAAAGCGGGGGAUCGCAGGACCUCGCGCGAUUGGAGCGGCCGAUGUCAAAUUAGGUAGUUGGUGAGGUAAAGGCUCACCAAGCCGACGAUCUGUACCUGGUCUGAGAGGACGACCAGCCACACUGGGACUGAGACACGGCCCAAACUCCUACGGGAGGCAGCAGUGGGGAAUUUUGGACAAUGGGCGCAAGCCUGAUCCAGCCAUUCCGCGUGCAGGACGAAGGCCUUCGGGUUGUAAACUGCUUUUGUACGGAGCGAAAAGCCUUGAGUUAAUACCUCGAGGUCAUGACGGUACCGUAAGAAUAAGCACCGGCUAACUACGUGCCAGCAGCCGCGGUAAU
Molecule: ribosomal RNA, 523 nt
Filed under: uncultured bacterium
Lineage: Bacteria
Description: bacterial SSU rRNA
Rfam family: Bacterial small subunit ribosomal RNA
Source: RNAcentral